GCCCAUAGAGGCCCCCGUAGCGAGGGGGCGGAGCCCGGAAGGAAGCAGGAUGGCGGCUCUGGACAGUGACAGCGAUGAGGAUCUGGUCAGCUAUGGGACGGGCCUGGAGCCUCUGGAGGAAGGUGAAAGACCAAAGAAACCCAUUCCUCUUCAGGACCAGACUGUCAGGGACGAGAAAGGAAGGUAUAAGCGCUUUCAUGGCGCCUUUAGUGGCGGCUUCUCUGCAGGAUACUUCAAUACUGUUGGCUCAAAGGAAGGAUGGACACCCUCUACCUUCGUGUCCUCAAGACAGAACAGGGCCGACAAGUCUGUCCUUGGACCUGAAGAUUUUAUGGAUGAAGAGGAUCUUAGUGAAUUCGGGAUAGCACCUAAAGCUAUCGUUACCACAGAUGAUUUUGCUUCCAAAACCAAAGACAGAAUACGGGAGAAAGCCAGGCAACUGGCAGCCGCUGCGGCCCCCAUUCCUGGAGCCACGCUGCUUGAUGAUCUCAUCACGUCGGCAAAAAUGUCCAUUGGCUUUGAACUGCUGAGAAAAAUGGGUUGGAAGGAGGGACAAGGAGUCGGCCCCCGGGUGAAGAGAAAGCCGCGCAGACAGAAACCAGAUCCUGGUGUUAAGAUCUAUGGCUGUGCGUUGCCGCCUGGAGGCUCUGAAGGGUCUGAGGACGAAGAUGAUGACUACCUGCCCGACAACGUGACUUUUGCUCCUAAAGACAUCAUGCCUGUGGAUUUUACACCUAAAGAUAACGUACACGGGCUGGCCUACAAGGGCCUGGACCCCAGCCAAGCACUGUUUGGAACACCAGGAGAACAUCUGAAUCUUUUUGGUGGACCAUCUGAGGGGACCAGCCAUCUUCUUGAAGAUGUUAGAUUGAGUAAAGGAAGAAAAUUGGGAAUUUCUGGCCAGGCUUUUGGUGUAGGCGCUCUGGAAGAGGAGGACGAUGACAUCUACGCCACCGAAACUCUCUCCAAGUACGACACUGUGUUGAAGGAUGAGGAGCCUGGGGAUGGCCUCUACGGCUGGACGGCUCCCAAGCUCUACAAGAAGCAGAAAGAACCAGAGAGAGAUCUUCGAUAUGUUGGCAAAAUUUUGGAAGGAUUUUCCUUGGCUUCUAAACCUCUAUCUUCAAAGAAAAUUUACCCACCCCCUCAGCUGCCCAGAGACUAUCGACCGGUGCAUUAUUUCAGACCUGUGGUCGCCGCGACAUCCGACAAUGCUCACUUACUUCAGGUGUUAUCAGAGUCGUCUGGGAAAGCAGGACAGGACUCGGGGACGCACAGUCGGCAUCAGCUCAAUGCUUCCAAGCGGGGGGAGUUGCUAGGAGAGACGCCUGUUCAAGGAUCAGCUACUUCAGUGUUGGAGUUUCUGUCCCAGAAAGACAAAGAGAGAAUUAAAGAAACGAAGCAGGCAGCUGACUUGAAAGCAGCCCAGGCCAAGGCCAGGAGUCUGGCCCAGACCGCCUCCAGCCGCAGAGAACAGACCGCCAUGCCGGACCCUGCCUACAGCCUGCGGCAUCUGGCCCCGGGCAGUGGGACCGCCACCGCAAGGGCCAGCAACUUCAAGCCUUUUGCCAAAGAUCCAGAAAAGCAGAGGCGAUACGAAGAGUUCUUAGUACACAUGAAGAAGGGUCAGAAAGAUGCCCUGGAGCGAUGCCUGGACCCCAGCAUGACGGAGUGGGAGCGAAGCCGAGAGCGGGAAGAGUUUGCUCGGGCGGCGCAGCUCUACGUGUCCUCCCACUCCACCCUCUCCUCCAGGUUCACUCACGCCAAGGAGGAGGACGACUCGGAUCAGGUUGAAGUUCCCCGAGAUCAAGAGAAUGACGUCAGUGACAAGCAGUCAGCUGUGAAGAUGAAGAUGUUUGGGAAGCUCACCCGAGACACGUUUGAGUGGCACCCUGACAAGCUUCUGUGUAAGAGGUUUAAUGUCCCUGACCCUUAUCCAGGCUCAACGUUAGUCGGCCUACCCAGAGUGAAGCGGGAUAAAUACUCAGUGUUUAACUUCCUGACGCUCCCAGAGCCAGCCCCUCCACCCACAGCUCCAGCACCCAGUGAAAAAGCCGCCCAGCAGCGGGGUCCUGACAAAUCCAGGAAACCAUCACGAUGGGACACAUCCAAGCAGGAGAAGAAGGAUGAUUCCAUUAGUGAGUUUUUAAGUCAGGCUAGAUCAAAAGUUGGGCCACCGAGACAAGAACCCAGCGCCCCGGGAAACAAAGAGGAGGACCGAGCCCCGGAGCCACACCCAGACAAGACUGUAGACAAAGGUGUGGACACACAGAUGGACGGGGAAGGUAGUCGCCCUUCCAUGGAUUUAUUCAAGGCCAUCUUCGCCAGUUCUUCUGAUGAAAAGUCCUCUUCUGAGGAAGAGGAGCAAGACGACAGUGAAGAGAGUCAGGAGCACACUGAGGAGGCCAGCUUUAAAAGUGCCCCGGAGGCUGCCGCUGGGGAGACCUCUGUGACCCAUGCUGCUGAACCAGGGCCUUGUGAGCCUGCAACCCCCUUCCCCAUCCAAAAGGUACAGAUCGAUGAGCGAGAAGAGUUUGGACCUCGGCUGCCUCCCGUCUUCUGCCCCAAUACUCGCCAGAAACUUGAGACACCUCAAAAAGAGAAACCUAAGAAGAGCAAAGAAAAACACAAGACCAAGAAGGAACACAGACGGAAGAAAGAGAAGAGCUCUUGGUCCAUGGUAGCCGUCUGAAGGGAAAGAAGCUUGAGAAGAAGGACCGGUGACGGACUCCACUGUCACUGUCUCCUCCCUUGUCAUCCGUGUGCCUUUUCAGCUCAGAACCUACGUCUGGUUGGGUUAGUGGCGGGCGCCUGUGCGGCGUGCGCCUGUGUGCCCAGCUCAGGAGUAGAGUCCGUGAGAAGCUGCCACUGCUGGCCACAGGAGAAGGCAGGCCUGAGCGCCCGUGCGUUCUAAGCCUGCUCUUCAGUGACCUGCCCCUUCCUCUCUCUGCUGCGCUGAUGCCCCUCCUGCUGUGUGGUUUCAUUUGUCCAACAGACUAGUCAGAAGAAGAAGCACAGGAAGCACAGACACAGGAGUAAGCCGAAGAGUAAGAGGCUGGAGAAGAGCAGCACCUCCGACAGCAGCGACAGCAGCGACAGCGAGGAGGGGGGCGCCGCAGACCUGUCCCCCCAGGAGCUGC
This is a non-coding RNA of Peromyscus maniculatus bairdii (prairie deer mouse), 3140 nucleotides long. NCBI's taxonomy places the organism in Eukaryota, Metazoa, Chordata, Mammalia, Rodentia, Cricetidae. The record is from RefSeq and is a predicted model, not a curated record.